This 23-nucleotide non-coding RNA is filed under the name Cricetulus griseus (Chinese hamster). Lineage: Eukaryota; Metazoa; Chordata; Mammalia; Rodentia; Cricetidae. The record is from RNAcentral.
UGACAGUGGGAUGACGAUAACCA